GGUUGCGUGGCUUAAUGGAUAUAGCAUCUCACUACGGAUGAGAAGGUUCGGGGUUCGAAUCCCUGCGCGACCA
RNAcentral lists this transfer RNA (73 nucleotides) under Bacteroidia bacterium. It matches the Rfam family "tRNA". From Rfam's summary of the family: Transfer RNA (tRNA) molecules are approximately 80 nucleotides in length. Their secondary structure includes four short double-helical elements and three loops (D, anti-codon, and T loops). The record is from Rfam by way of RNAcentral. Lineage: Bacteria; Pseudomonadati; Bacteroidota; Bacteroidia.